Long non-coding RNA from Etheostoma cragini (Arkansas darter), 468 nucleotides. RefSeq lists it as uncharacterized. The record is from RefSeq and is a predicted model, not a curated record. Lineage: Eukaryota; Metazoa; Chordata; Actinopteri; Perciformes; Percidae. The transcript is spliced from 3 exons.
UCUUGAUUGUGUUUUAAGUGUUUUUUUGUGCGUGUUAUAGGUUUACAAAGUGAAGAAGCUCAAAGUCCCCCCCAAAGGGCCUCCAACAGAAAACACUAUUCACUAACUGCUCCAAAAAGCUCUAUUGUAGUCCAGCCUUUACCUCCAUGACAAACGUGCAUCACUUUGUAACACGUGUUAUAACGCUCGCCUAGCUGCUAGCGUCGCACGCCCUCAUACUCUGCGACUAACUAGCUAUCAGUACUUAACUGUGCCCGUGCGACUCCCAACAAAGUUGGUACAGAAGUGAGAUGUCUCACUCUGUAGCUAAAACAGAGAGCUCAACACACAGGGUGAAAGGAGGAGCUGCAGCAUUGUGCAGUACAACAAAUAUAUAGUGUUUUGGGAAAAUUAAACUACAUAAAAAUAUUCUGGUACAGCUUCAAAAUACAAUUCUAAACCUGAAAAUGAGCACAAUAUGAGUUCUUU